This 421-nucleotide ribosomal RNA is filed under the name Rana chensinensis (Chinese brown frog). RNAcentral describes it as "partial 12S ribosomal RNA". It matches the Rfam family "Bacterial small subunit ribosomal RNA", at positions 879 to 1499 of the family's 1533-position model. Lineage: Eukaryota; Metazoa; Chordata; Amphibia; Anura; Ranidae. The record is from RNAcentral.
AUUACGAGCAAUGCUUAAAACCCAAAGGAUUUGACGGUGUCCCACCCCACUAGAGGAGCCUGUUGUAUAAUCGAUGAUCCCCGAUUCACCUAACCAUCCCUCGCCUUCAGUCUGUAUACCUCCGUCGAAAGCUUAUCAUGUGAAGGGCCGCAGUAGGCUUAAUGAUCCCCCAUCAAUACGUGAGGACAAGGUGCAGCUUAAGGGAUGGCAAGCAAUGGGCUACAAUUUCUAAUUUAGAACAAACGAAAGACUAUGUGAAACCCUAGUCAUGAAGGUGGAUUUAGUAGUAAAAAGAAAGCAGAGUGUUCUUUUUAACCCGGCUCUGGGACGCGUACACACCGCCCGUCACCCUCUUCAAUAGUACUCCAUCUGUUCAUAACCCAACAUCACAUUUUAGAAGAGGCAAGUCGUAACAUGGUAA